Long non-coding RNA from Lagopus muta (rock ptarmigan), 1020 nucleotides. RefSeq lists it as uncharacterized. The record is from RefSeq and is a predicted model, not a curated record. NCBI's taxonomy places the organism in Eukaryota, Metazoa, Chordata, Aves, Galliformes, Phasianidae. The transcript is spliced from 3 exons.
GCUGCUCUUUGGAAGGGAGUGCUGUAUGAUCAUAGAGCUUCUUCAACGGGUGGCUCUGGCUGAAUGCUUCCAUAUGAGAAGUGGAUAUUACAGAAGUCUAGCUGGGCUGGUUCCUGUGACCUUGUAAGAGAGAAAUGUUGUCUUCAGGCCAUAUCCAAGCUGUGAAAUCCAGCCUUCCUCAGUUAGCUGUGGGAAAGGUACGUGACGUGGCACUGACAGCCAGCUGCAACAUGCUCGUUUUGGGCUGCUUACGGUUUCUGGUGGUUAGACAACUUUGCUUCUGCAGUGGUACCACCUCACUGUGUGGUCAGGAGGAAAUAUUUCCAAACUUUUUGUUGUUGCUUGUUUUUGUUGAGAACUGAAAGUUUAGAUGUAAUCUGGAGUUUAUGCUACUGCCUGUCAUGUGUAGAACUGGUAUCCAUUUACCUGAAAACCUGUUUCAUUUGAGUGGCCUUACUGAAGAAUAGCAUAUGCAAAAUACUGAAUAUUCUACUAGGAUGGAAAUGUGUAAGAAAAAUUAAAUUCACUGUUGCAGAACACCUCUUGCUUAUGUUUGAAAAUGUGCUGAACUGGAUCUAGGAACAAUGCUUGGUGCUUAGGUGCUCUUGCUUUCAAGACUUAAUCUUCCUGCUUAAACAUGCAGGAUGUUUGUGAAGAAGGCAGUGUACCCUUUUUCACAGAUGAAUAUGAUGAAUUCUGCCAAGGUGCAAUAAACUGUGUAGUUUAAACUCCUGUGUAGCAGCUGAAUUGCUGAUUAGAUCAGUAUUCGGCAGUCUCUGAUCUUAGUUCCUGGCUCUGAUCGCUAGAUGACUUAAUUUACUAAUUUGUUAGUGUGCACAGAAUAAUUUAUAAAUACCAUAUUCUGAACAAGAUCUUGUUUUCUACGCAUGUUAUUAAUUAGCUAAUGUUUUUGCCAGGAAAUAAGUUCAAGACAGCACACAUUUAUCCUGUUACUCGCAUCUCCUGACAAACAGCAGAGAUAGAUUCAGCCAUCAGGGGACUGCGGAUGGCAAAUAUUCC